ACCCAGGGCAUUAAAACCACUUCAGUCUAAUAGCCUUCUAUUUAUUUUAAGACUUUCUACAUGUCUUAUCAACCUGAAUCUUUUUUUUUCUAACUCUGACAGAUGGAGAACAACCUGUGUCUUGUGUUGGUGCUAAUUCCUCUAGUUGCUAACACCAAAGCAACAACAUUGCUAACCAUGCCUACUAAAGAUUCUGCUGUUGUUCCUGGUCUAUGCUGAAAUUCCACAUCAAGGACCCUGACAUCUACAUCAAGGUUCUCCUGCAGAGAAGAAUAUCAUGUGAAAUAUUGAUAAAGUUCUUCCAAGAACAGCAUAAUUGUUGCGAUGCUUAA
This 332-nucleotide long non-coding RNA is filed under the name Pan troglodytes (chimpanzee). RNAcentral's name for it is "lncRNA (ENSPTRG00000053963.1)". The record is from RNAcentral. Lineage: Eukaryota; Metazoa; Chordata; Mammalia; Primates; Hominidae.